GAUGAACGCUGGCUACAGGCUUAACACAUGCAAGUCGAGGGGAAACGACGGGGAAGCUUGCUUCCCCGGGCGUCGACCGGCGCACGGGUGAGUAACGCGUAUCCAACCUGCCUCUGACUGAGGGAUAACCCGUCGAAAGUCGGCCUAAUACCUCAUGGCAUCGUCUGCGGGCAUCCAACGACGAUUAAAGAUUUCAUCGGUCAGGGAUGGGGAUGCGUCUGAUUAGCUUGUUGGCGGGGUAACGGCCCACCAAGGCUACGAUCAGUAGGGGUUCUGAGAGGAAGGUCCCCCACAUUGGAACUGAGACACGGUCCAAACUCCUACGGGAGGCAGCAGUGAGGAAUAUUGGUCAAUGGGCGGGAGCCUGAACCAGCCAAGUAGCGUGCAGGAGGACGGCCCUAUGGGUUGUAAACUGCCUUUAUGCGGGGAUAAAGUGAGGGACGUGUCCUUCAUUGCAGGUACCGCAUGAAUAAGGACCGGCUAAUUCCGUG
Molecule: ribosomal RNA, 491 nt
Filed under: uncultured bacterium
Lineage: Bacteria
Description: partial 16S ribosomal RNA
Rfam family: Bacterial small subunit ribosomal RNA
Source: RNAcentral